This 439-nucleotide ribosomal RNA is filed under the name uncultured bacterium. RNAcentral describes it as "partial 16S ribosomal RNA". It matches the Rfam family "Bacterial small subunit ribosomal RNA", at positions 339 to 795 of the family's 1533-position model. The record is from RNAcentral.
CUACGGGCGGCACCAGUGGGGAAUAUUGCACAAUGGAGGAAACUCUGAUGCAGCAACGCCGCGUGGAGGAUGACGCAUUUCGGUGUGUAAACUCCUUUUAUAUGUCAAGAAAAUGACGGUAGCAUAUGAAUAAGCACCGGCUAACUCCGUGCCAGCAGCCGCGGUAAUACGGAGGGUGCAAGCGUUACUCGGAAUCACUGGGCGUAAAGGAAGCGUAGGCGGGUUGGAAAGUCAGGUGUGAAAUCCUACAGCUUAACUGUAGAACUGCACUUGAAACUUCUAAUCUAGAGUAUGGGAGGGGGAGAUGGAAUUAGUGGUGUAGGGGUAAAAUCCGUAGAUAUCACUAGGAAUACCUAAAGCGAAGGCGAUCUCCUGGAACAUUACUGACGCUAAGGCGUGAAAGCGUGGGGAGCAAACAGGAUUAGAUACCCGAGUAGUC